GAUGAACGCUGGCGGCGUGCCUAAUACAUGCAAGUCGAGCGAACAGACGAGGAGCUUGCUCCUCUGACGUUAGCGGCGGACGGGUGAGUAACACGUGGAUAACCUACCUAUAAGGCUGGGAUAACUUCGGGAAACCGGAGCUAAUACCGGAUAAUAUAUUGAACCGCAUGGUUCAAUAGUGAAAGACGGUUUUGCUGUCACUUAUAGAUGGAUCCGCGCCGCAUUAGCUAGUUGGUAAGGUAACGGCUUACCAAGGCAACGAUGCGUAGCCGACCUGAGAGGGUGAUCGGCCACACUGGAACUGAGACACGGUCCAGACUCCUACGGGAGGCAGCAGUAGGGAAUCCUCCGCAAUGGGCGAAAGCCUGACGGAGCAACGCCGCGUGAGUGAUGAAGGUCUUCGGAUCGUAAAACUCUGUUAUUAGGGAAGAACAAAUGUGUAAGUAACUAUGCACGUCUUGACGGUACCUAAUCAGAAAGCCACGGCUAACUACGUG
This 497-nucleotide ribosomal RNA is filed under the name uncultured bacterium. RNAcentral's name for it is "partial 16S ribosomal RNA". It matches the Rfam family "Bacterial small subunit ribosomal RNA", at positions 28 to 507 of the family's 1533-position model. The record is from RNAcentral.